AAAAUUUAAACGUACAUGAACUAAAAUUAACAGAUGCAAUAGUUUAAGAUUAAUCUGAAUGGAUGCAACUAUUCAAGACUAAUCUGAAAAGACGCAACAGUUCGAUACUGAUCCGAAAAAACUCAUCUGUUGGGGGAUAAAAUUGCAAUUAAAAAAACUUAUUUAUUAAAAAUAAAUAAUUUUUUAUAAAAAAUAUACAUAGCAAUCCGACCCACAACCCACAACUGCACCC
This 232-nucleotide long non-coding RNA is filed under the name Actinidia chinensis (golden kiwifruit). RNAcentral describes it as "long non-coding RNA (ACHI_LNC009269)". The record is from RNAcentral. Lineage: Eukaryota; Viridiplantae; Streptophyta; Magnoliopsida; Ericales; Actinidiaceae.